ACAUAGCUCAGUGAUGAAGCAUCUGACUGCAAAUCAGGAGGUCCUAGGUCUAAAUCCAGGUGU
This 63-nucleotide transfer RNA is filed under the name Scleropages formosus (Asian bonytongue). It matches the Rfam family "tRNA", at positions 5 to 66 of the family's 71-position model. From Rfam's summary of the family: Transfer RNA (tRNA) molecules are approximately 80 nucleotides in length. Their secondary structure includes four short double-helical elements and three loops (D, anti-codon, and T loops). The record is from Rfam by way of RNAcentral. Lineage: Eukaryota; Metazoa; Chordata; Actinopteri; Osteoglossiformes; Osteoglossidae.